UGGGGAAUUUUGGACAAUGGGCGAAAGCCUGAUCCAGCAAUGCCGCGUGUGUGAAGAAGGCCUUCGGGUUGUAAAGCACUUUUGUCCGGAAAGAAAUCCUUGGCUCUAAUACAGUCGGGGGAUGACGGUACCGGAAGAAUAAGCACCGGCUAACUACGUGCCAGCAGCCGCGGUAAUACGUAGGGUGCAAGCGUUAAUCGGAAUUACUGGGCGUAAAGCGUGCGCAGGCGGUUUGCUAAGACCGAUGUGAAAUCCCCGGGCUCAACCUGGGAACUGCAUUGGUGACUGGCAGGCUAGAGUAUGGCAGAGGGGGGUUAGAAUUCCACGUGUAGCAGUGAAAUGCGUAGAGAUGUGGAGGAAUACCGAUGGCGAAGGCAGCCCCCUGGGCCAAUACUGACGCUCAUGCACGAAAGCGUGGGGAGCAAACAGGAUUAGAUACCCUGGUAGUCCACGCCCUAAACGAUGUCAACUAGUUGUUGGGGAUUCAUUUCCUUAGUAACGUAGCUAACGCGUGAAGUUGACCGCCUGGGGAGUACGGUCGCAAGAUUAAAACUCAAAGGAAUUGACGGGGUCAUAGCUG
RNAcentral lists this ribosomal RNA (580 nucleotides) under uncultured bacterium. RNAcentral's name for it is "partial 16S ribosomal RNA". It matches the Rfam family "Bacterial small subunit ribosomal RNA", at positions 355 to 932 of the family's 1533-position model. The record is from RNAcentral.